This 2566-nucleotide unclassified non-coding RNA is filed under the name Cotesia glomerata. RNAcentral describes it as "uncharacterized LOC123273060, transcript variant X2". Lineage: Eukaryota; Metazoa; Arthropoda; Insecta; Hymenoptera; Braconidae. The record is from RNAcentral.
UUUUUAAGUGGAUUUACCUACGCUGUAAUUUAUAAUUUGUUGUAUAGCCCCAAAUUGGCUAUAGUAAAUUUCGUGGAGACUACAUAAGGAGCACGCACUUAAGUGUGGCAUUUGCCAGAGUAUGGGAGGGAGGGACAAAAUAUUAUUAUUAGAUUAAAUAAAUGAAUCAAUAAUUUAAAUAAUUUGGGAUCAUCAAACAUUAACAUUAAUUGUCAACAAACUUGGAAGAGAUGGCACGUGAUUUAUUGAUAAGGAAGGAUUUUAACGAAGGGUUUACAUAUAAUGAAAUAGUUAAUUUUCUAUGUAAAUAUCACAACAUUUCAAUAUCUCGUCGAAAUUUAAUUCGAAUUCUUAAAAAACUUGGACUGAAGCGUAAAUAUAUUGUUGAAGAUUUCUUGGAAAAAAUUGGUUCUGCCGUGAUUGACGAAAUAAACAGUAGUGGUUCCUGUAUUGGCUAUAAAAGAAUGUGUCAACGUUUAAAGCUGAUUUAUGGCUUAAAAGUAAAGAGGAGUACAGUUAAUAAAAUUUUACAUGUAGUUGAUCCAGAUUCUAUCGAAGAGAGGUCUCGUCGACGAUUAUUGAGACGUAAAUACUCUGUUCCUGGACCUAAUUUCCUUUGGCACAUUGAUGGCUACGAUAAAUUGAAACCCUUUGGGUUCGCUAUUCACGGAUGUCUUGAUGGAUUUUCUAGAAAAAUUACAUGGUUGGAUGUCGCUACAUCAAAUAAUAAACCGGAAAUUGUUGCACAUUAUUUUUUAAAAGCGGUACAAAGAUUAAAGUUACUUCCAACUUUAAUUCGAUCAGAUUGUGGUACAGAAAAUUGUAUUGUUGAAGCUCUUCAGCAAAGUCUACGUUUUCAUAAUGAUGAUAAUUUAGCUGGUUGGAAAAGUUUUAUUAAAGGCAAAAGUACGUCUAAUCAGCGUAUAGAAAGUUAUUGGUCUCAACUUAGACGUCAUGGUUUGGAUUUUUGGAUCAAUUAAUUUAAAGAUUUACGCGAGAGAGGUCUUUAUAAUGAUUCAUCAAUAUUACAUGAUGAAUGUUUACGCUUCUGUUUUGGACAUUUAAUUAGAGCUGAAUUGAAAAUGAUUCGUCAUGAGUGGAAUCGGCAUCGUAUAAGAAAACAAAAAAGUCGUCAUAUAGCUCCAGGAAAACCAAAUUGUUUGUAUUAUCUUCCUGAACUAAUUGGAGCAAGGGAUUACAAGAAACCAAUUGAUGAAAAUGCUGUUAAUAUUCUCAAAUCUGAUUAUACUCUGGAGCCUAAAUUGUACAAUGAAUUGUUUUGUCAAUUGGUAGGUGUAUUGAUACCUGACAUACAAUUACCUCUGAAUGUCGAAGAAAGUCUUGCACUUUAUUUUAAAAUCUUAAGUUUGUUAAAAAUUUAUACAUAGUUUCAAACAAAAUAUCAAGAUAUUUAAAAAAAAUCGAAAACAAAAAUACUCAAUCUUUUAAUUAUUCUUGGAAUACUGUUUUAAAACAAUGUCUUAAAACAAUUUUAUUAAGUUAUAGCUUAACGUGAUUUCAGAGUGUUUCUUACACGUAAUCCUAGCUCUAAAAAUUUUGUUGUUUUUUUGAAAUAUUCUUUCUAGCACGUAUGCGAUUACAUUGAUUGAAAAACAAAAAUUUGAAUUAAAAUUAUGACAAAAAUUAAAAUCAUAAAAAAAUUAGUCUUCAUAUAUAGUAAACUUGGAUAGAUCCUGAGAAUCGUGAGUAGUGAUUGUCGUCUUGCUGACAAUACGAUGAUUACUAAGAUUAACAAUGAACUGUGGGAUCUUGACAGACCUUUAGAACGUGAUUGCAAGUUGGAAUUACUCUAAUUUGACAGCCCUGAUGGUCAACAAGUCAUUUGGCACUCCAGUGCUCACAUACUGAGCGAAGCAAUGGAACGUGUCUACGGAGGUUGUCUCUGCAUCUUAGAGAUAAGAAAAUUUCAACCCUGAACUUCCCUUUUCUUGAAUCUUUGUAGAAGGACAUUGUAAAGGAAAAGGCAACCAUUUGAGCGUCUGGAAAUGACUAAAGAAGAUUUUUUGAAGAUGUUUGAGUACAAUGAGUUCAAAGUGAGAAUACUGAAAGAAAAAGUUCAGACUCCAACUACUACAGUCUACAGAUGUGGGCCGUUGAUUGAUUUGUUUCGUGGUCCUCAUCAGACACACGGGUAUGCUCGGGGCAUUGUCCCCAGGUGCGAUGCAUCCAGCAUUCGCGACUCGAAUGGGAUUCCCUGGUGGACCAAUGCUAACGCCGAUGAUGCAUCCACGCUUCAGAUGAUCACCUCAAGCUAACGGGCCUAAUCUAUCACUGCAUUUUGUGCUUUGGGCCCAGCCCUGACUUGGUCUCAAGUGAAAAAUUUACUGACUCAAAUCAAUAAUAUAAUUAUAUGUAAUAUAAUUACUAUGCAAGAGCCGUUAGUUUAAAUUUUCAAAAAACCGAAAAACGACUGUCAUGUGCAAAGUCAAAAUAUCAACGCUACUGAUCCUCAGUUAACACGAAGUUAGCAAAAGCCUUUUCUUUUUUUUGUUUUUAAUUAAUUAAUUAUCGAAUUAAAUAUUGUUACACUAAACAGCAUCUGGAA